AGCUUUGCGCAGUGGCAGUAUCGUAGCCAAUGAGGUUUAUCCGAGGCGCGAUUAUUGCUAAUUGAAAGAAACCUGUACGUCUUCAGGAUUAUUAUAUCGUGCUGUUUAUUGGCAGUAGGUACAAUACAGGUUUUUGAUGAGUUCCCAGGAAG
Molecule: small nuclear RNA, 152 nt
Filed under: Ochotona princeps (American pika)
Lineage: Eukaryota; Metazoa; Chordata; Mammalia; Lagomorpha; Ochotonidae
Description: U4 spliceosomal RNA (ENSOPRG00000019563.1)
Rfam family: U4 spliceosomal RNA
About the family: U4 small nuclear RNA (U4 snRNA) is a component of the major U2-dependent spliceosome. The structure of U4 snRNA from yeast and human has been reported.
Source: RNAcentral